CUGUAUCGAUCGCAUUUAUUAUGUCAAACCAACCGCAUGAGAGAUUGUGCGUGGUGAAUCUAGAUAACUGUGCUGAUCGCAUGGCCUUGAGCCGGCGACGUUUCGAUUGAGUUUCUGCCCUAUCACCUUGAUGCUAGUGUAUUGUACUAGCAUGGGAGUAACGGGUAACGGAGGAUCAGGGUUCGAUCCCGGAGAGGGAGCCUGAGAAACGGCUACCACAUCCAAGGAAGGCAGCAGGCGCGCAAAUUACCCAAUCCAGACAAUGGGAGGUGGUGACGAAGAGUACCGGAUGACUGAAUAAUUUCAGUCAGUCUGGAAUGAAUACAAUUUAAGCAAUUGAGUUGAGAAACAACUGGAGGGCAAGUCUGGUGCCAGCAGCCGCGGUAAUUCCAGCUCCAGUAGCGUGUCUCAAAGUUGCUGCGCUUAAAACGCUCGUAGUUGGAUGAGAAACUAUACAUUGGAAAGUUGCUUGUUGGGUACUUGGUUAUAUGUUGCUACUUUGAUGCUUCUGGCGUCGGGUAGCGACUGUAGCCAACCAUCAGUAACAUACCACCGGUGUGUAGUAAUUGCGUGUGAGGAUGAUCAUUGACCUUCAGUGUGUUGAAGAUCGUGUCUCACGGGAUGUGCCUUGAGUAAAUCAGAGUGCUCAAAGCAGGCUAUUGCCUGAAUGUUUUAGCAUGGAACGAACAAUAAUGUAGACGCGUAU
RNAcentral lists this ribosomal RNA (706 nucleotides) under Myxozoa sp. OMsCVII 5. Its description in RNAcentral is "SSU rRNA". It matches the Rfam family "Eukaryotic small subunit ribosomal RNA", at positions 192 to 837 of the family's 1831-position model. Lineage: Eukaryota; Metazoa; Cnidaria; Myxozoa. The record is from RNAcentral.